Molecule: long non-coding RNA, 984 nt
Filed under: Betta splendens (Siamese fighting fish)
Lineage: Eukaryota; Metazoa; Chordata; Actinopteri; Anabantiformes; Osphronemidae
Description: lncRNA (ENSBSLG00000023980.1)
Source: RNAcentral
GUCAUUCACUGUAUGAACAUAUGAAACUGAAGCACAUGAUCUUCAGACUAUGCACAGAUCUUUCAUUCACUGUCGUUGUAAGUUAUAUUUUUUCAUUUUAACCUGUUUUUUUUCCCGCUCUUCCUUUGGCCACGCCCCUCACCACUGUCCACCUCCACUUCCUGUUGUUUCCUUUGCCACAUGCAGGACAAUCAGCGUCACCUGUUCCUCUGCCUCCUGCUUAGCCUCCUCACCUCCAGCCUCUUCCUCUGCUUUUGAAACCAUAUCUGCACGUUUCCCCUGGCGCUCGCGUUUUUACACCGGCGCAGAGCGAAAGCUGUCAAGCUUGAACAUAUCCUCACUACGGAGACAAGGACGCAGGAAACAGAGCAGCCUCCAACGAGAGAAGAAGACGAGCGCUCUCAACGGGAAGAAGGGCGUCGGCCGCGGCCUUGAUGUGUGGAUGCCUGUGUAUCUGCACUGUACCACAGACGCGACGCUGCCGGCGUUGGAAAUGACACACGGACACACGUCAACUCAGACUGAGGCUCGACGCUCGCUGAUGCUGAGCAGCGCCGCUCGUCCUCUGGGCUGCGUCUGACGGAAGCAGGAGAUGAAACGGGCAAACAAAGACGAAUGGAUCAAUGUGUGCAGGACACGGUCGCAUCCAGCGAAGGGACGCGAGAGACCGCUCGUCUCCCUGACAGUGGAGCUGUUCAGCGACUGCCUGUUCCCAUCCACCGUUUGUUUAUGCUGAGCCUUUAAGGACCACAGCCUGAACCAGAACCCUGCUAAUAAGCAGCACAGCAUCGGCCGGAUGCAUAAUUCAUCACUACUAAACUUGUUAGCGCGUACACAGAAGAAUAGCCCCUCACACGUUCACACAUGAGCAAACACUCACAUGUUGCAGGUUGCAGCUUUUCAGCUCAUCUCUUUAAAUAAUAAUAGAGCGUCAGGUUUGUCCUUCAAAAUAAAUACAGAAUAUUUUGAUUACUAAGUUCUUGU